Non-coding RNA from Arachis ipaensis, 1394 nucleotides. NCBI's taxonomy places the organism in Eukaryota, Viridiplantae, Streptophyta, Magnoliopsida, Fabales, Fabaceae. The record is from RefSeq and is a predicted model, not a curated record.
AUUUAAUGUAUUUAGAAGCAAGCUAUUGAAUCUAAUGGACACCCUCUUUCAAUGCACCGAAUAAUUAGUGCGACUGGAAAAGACUCCAAGGGGCCGUUAUGAACCUACAUUUUAUGGACAAUUGAUAGCCAGUUGUCCUUUGUCGUUUGAUGCUUCUGUUCUAGUUCUGAAAUUUGGGAAUGCUGGUAUGAUACGUGAAGGCAUAUUGCUGGGUAUAAUGAUGGAUAAAAAGCCUUUACCCAUUCUUCAUCCAUUUGGAGAGGAUAUAUUGGUAACGCCAGAGUGGAUCAAUAUUACUAUUUCCAAUUGCACUGAUUCUAUGUUGUAAUUUUUAUGAGCUUUAUUGUAAUUGAAUCCUUUUGUUUUCGUCAGUUUACAAAGCAUAUUGCUAGCUACUUUACUGACCGAACAAUCUUAGCCGGUCGAAAGGAGAUGGAAUUCAUGGCUAACUUUUGUGCAUUUGAAUUUUGGCAGCAUCUUUUCAGGGUAAAGUCAUAUUCCUCCUUCACUUUAUGAGCUUCCAAAUACCUUAGCAUUGUUUAGUUUUUGUAUGAGGAUUUAUUGACGAAAGGUGGAAGGAAAAAUUUUCAAGCUGAUAAUUUUUUUAAUUAAAAACUAUAAUAUUGCUCACUAAACAUCAUGUUUAUAUUCUCACUCCAAGCUAAGAGACCACAAUGCAAAUUCUUCUUUUCGUUGCAGGUAAUUGGUUUGUCUGAUAAUUCAUUUACGAUGCUACCUAAUUCUAUGAUGAUGAAUAUUGUUCUAUCAUUAUAACAGGGAUGCCGAAGAGAAGAGCAAAGAAUGUAAACAUCUUUUAAAGUAACGAUAUAGAUAAAUACACGGAUUUCACAAAGAAUGGGAUCCCAAACUUUUUGCUACACUGUAAUUAUAAUUCAAGCUGUGUUUGGUUAUUCCAAAUUAGAAAAUUUUUCCUUCUUCUCCUUUCUAUCCUUGAUUGACACAGGUUGAGUUGUAUUAUAUGUCGUACAAGACAAGAGUGUCCAAAUUCCAAACAAAAUAAUAAUAACCAAAAUAUUAUCAUAUUUGAAGUCUGGUGUUAAUUAUUGCAUAGCAAUAUAGCAUGAUUGUUAUUGUUAUUGUUCAAAACUUGAACGAGGUAGCUAUGGACUAUGCUACACAAUUAAUCAACUAUUAAUUUAAUUAAAUAUAAAUGUAAAUAGAUGGACACUUUGAUAUAAUUUUCCAAAACAGAUAAGGUUAUUACACAAGCAUUCUUUUUUCUUUUUUUUUUCUUCUUUUCUCUACAAAAAUACAUACUUAAAUACAACACCAUCUCAAAUCCUAGGGAUAGGGAACUAGAGAUUUCAGCUCCAAAACACAGUUUCCAUUGAUUGCACCAUGCACUCUAAAGCUGUUGGGUCUUUUUUAUAUUU